RNAcentral lists this ribosomal RNA (404 nucleotides) under uncultured bacterium. Its description in RNAcentral is "bacterial SSU rRNA". It matches the Rfam family "Bacterial small subunit ribosomal RNA", at positions 355 to 775 of the family's 1533-position model. The record is from RNAcentral.
UUGGGAAUCUUGCACAAUGGGGGAAACCCUGAUGCAGCGACGCCGCGUGGAGGAUGAAGGGUUUAGGCCUGUAAACUCCUUUUUUCGGGAAAGACUUAGGACGGUACCCGAAGAAUAAGGACCGGCUAACUACGUGCCAGCAGCCGCGGUAAGACGUAGGGUCCAAGCGUUGUCCGGAUUUACUGGGCGUAAAGAGCGCGUAGGCGGCUCGUUAAGUGUAGAGUGAAAUCUCUGGGCUCACCCCAGAAACUGCUCUGCAUACUGGCGAGCUAGAGGGUCGAAGAGGUAUGUGGAAUUCCUGGUGUAGCGGUGAAAUGCGUUGAUAUCAGGAGGAACACCCAUGGCGAAGGCAGCAUACUGGUCGGCAUCUGACGCUGAGGCGCGAAAGCGUGGGUAGCAAACAG